UGNGGAGCCUUCCAUGCAGUCGAACGGUAACAGGUCUUCGGAUGCUGACGAGUGGCGAACGGGUGAGUAAUACAUCGGAACGUGCCCAGUCGUGGGGGAUAACUACUCGAAAGAGUAGCUAAUACCGCAUACGAUCUGAGGAUGAAAGCGGGGGACCUUCGGGCCUCGCGCGAUUGGAGCGGCCGAUGGCAGAUUAGGUAGUUGGUGGGAUAAAAGCUUACCAAGCCGACGAUCUGUAGCUGGUCUGAGAGGACGACCAGCCACACUGGGACUGAGACACGGCCCAGACUCCUACGGGAGGCAGCAGUGGGGAAUUUUGGACAAUGGGCGAAAGCCUGAUCCAGCAAUGCCGCGUGCAGGAUGAAGGCCUUCGGGUUGUAAACUGCUUUUGUACGGAACGAAAAAGCUCCUUCUAAUACAGGGGGCCCAUGACGGUACCGUAAGAAUAAGCACCGGCUAACUACGUGCCAGCAGCCGCGGUAAUACGUAGGGUGCGAGCGUUAAUCGGAAUUACUGGGCGUAAAGCGUGCGCAGGCGGUUAUGUAAGACAGAUGUGAAAUCCCCGGGCUCAACCUGGGAACUGCAUUUGUGACUGCAUGGCUAGAGUACGGUAGAGGGGGAUGGAAUUCCGCGUGUAGCAGUGAAAUGCGUAGAUUUGCGGAGGAACACCGAUGGCGAAGGCAAUCCCCUGGACCUGUACUGACGCUCAUGCACGAAAGCGUGGGGAGCAAACGGAUUAGAUACCCUGGUAGUCCACGCCCUAAACGAUGUCACUGGUUGUUGGGAAUUAGUUUCUCCAGUAACGAGCUAACGCGUGAGUUGACCGCCUGGGGAAUAACGCCCAGGUGGAACUCCAGGGAUUGACGGGGACCCGCCCAACGGUGGAUAUAUGUGGUUUAUUUCGUGGCCACCGCGAAACUUACCCCUUUGUNCUUGGCGGAGAGUUUCCAANAAUGGAUCNUGUGNNCCAAAGAACUUGCACAAGGUGUNCUGAGGGGUGUGUCCCACCCNCUGNCUCGGAGAGUUGGGUGUAUUCCCNACCGGCCACCUNGCUUUAUUUGCAUCNNUNNNACCUAAGGAGGUCNNGUCCANCGGNANNGUGNGUAAUCUGACCUCCGCUAGNCAACCCUUCACAGGUGUGUGCGAAGGUCNC
RNAcentral lists this ribosomal RNA (1153 nucleotides) under uncultured Delftia sp. Its description in RNAcentral is "partial 16S ribosomal RNA". It matches the Rfam family "Bacterial small subunit ribosomal RNA", at positions 38 to 1150 of the family's 1533-position model. The record is from RNAcentral. Lineage: Bacteria; Pseudomonadati; Pseudomonadota; Betaproteobacteria; Burkholderiales; Comamonadaceae.